This 375-nucleotide ribosomal RNA is filed under the name uncultured bacterium. RNAcentral's name for it is "bacterial SSU rRNA". It matches the Rfam family "Bacterial small subunit ribosomal RNA", at positions 527 to 898 of the family's 1533-position model. The record is from RNAcentral.
GGGGGGAGCAAGCGUUGUUCGGAUUUACUGGGCGUAAAGGGCGCGUAGGCGGCCACCGCAAGUCGGUUGUGAAAUCUCCGGGCUUAACCCGGAAAGGUCAACCGAUACUGCGGGGCUAGAGUGCAGAAGGGGCAACUGGAAUUCUCGGUGUAGCGGUGAAAUGCGUAGAUAUCGAGAGGAACACCUGCGGCGAAGGCGGGUUGCUGGGCUGACACUGACGCUGAGGCGCGAAAGCUAGGGGAGCGAACGGGAUUAGAUACCCCGGUAGUCCUAGCCUUAAACGAUGGAUGCUUGGUGUCUGGGGUUUUAUAGUCCCCGGGUGCCGUCGCUAACGCUUUAAGCAUCCCGCCUGGGGAGUACGGUCGCAAGACUGAA